UCCAGACUCCUACGGGAGGCAGCAGUGAGGAAUAUUGGUCAAUGGGCGGAAGCCUGAACCAGCCAAGUCGCGUGAGGGAAUAAGGCCCUACGGGUCGUAAACCUCUUUUGCCGGGGAGCAAGGGCGGGGACGUGUCCCGGCCCGGAGAGUACCCGGAGAAAAAGCAUCGGCUAACUCCGUGCCAGCAGCCGCGGUAAUACGGAGGAUGCGAGCGUUAUCCGGAUUUAUUGGGUUUAAAGGGUGCGCAGGCGGUUUUUUAGGCCGGCGUCAACCCCCGGGGCCCCCCCCCCGGCCCGCCGUUGAAACUGGCAGUCUCGAGUUGGAGAGAAGUAUGCGGAAUGCGCGGUGUAGCGGUGAAAUGCAUAGAUAUCGCGCAGAACUCCGAUUGCGAAGGCAGCAUGCCGGCUCCACACUGACGCUGAGGCACGAAAGCGUGGGUAUCGAACAGGAUUAGAUACCCCCGUAUU
This 467-nucleotide ribosomal RNA is filed under the name uncultured bacterium. Its description in RNAcentral is "partial 16S ribosomal RNA". It matches the Rfam family "Bacterial small subunit ribosomal RNA", at positions 330 to 794 of the family's 1533-position model. The record is from RNAcentral.